GGGGCAAUGGCGCAGUUGGGAGCGCGUUAGACUGAAGCGCACUUCAGUGGUUCUGUUAUCUAAAGGUCACCGGUUCAAUCCCGGUUUGCCCCA
Molecule: transfer RNA, 93 nt
Filed under: Thielaviopsis punctulata
Lineage: Eukaryota; Fungi; Ascomycota; Sordariomycetes; Microascales; Ceratocystidaceae
Description: Ceratocystis radicicola tRNA
Rfam family: tRNA
About the family: Transfer RNA (tRNA) molecules are approximately 80 nucleotides in length.
Source: Rfam by way of RNAcentral